Molecule: ribosomal RNA, 332 nt
Filed under: uncultured bacterium
Lineage: Bacteria
Description: bacterial SSU rRNA
Rfam family: Bacterial small subunit ribosomal RNA
Source: RNAcentral
CGCGUAGGCGGCCUUGCAAGUCGGGUGUGAAAUCCCUCGGCUCAACCGAGGAACCGCACUCGAUACUGCCGGGCUAGAGUCCGGGAGGGGAUGGUGGAAUUCCCAGUGUAGCGGUGAAAUGCGUAGAUAUUGGGAAGAACACCGGUGGCGAAGGCGGCCAUCUGGACCGGUACUGACGCUGAGGCGCGAAAGCUAGGGGAGCGAAUGGGAUUAGAUACCCCGGUAGUCCUAGCUGUAAACGAUGGGCACUUGAUGUGGCAGGUUCUGACCCCUGCCGUGUCGAAGCUAACGCGUUAAGUGCCCCGCCUGGGGAGUACGGUCGCAAGGCUGAA